CCAAACCCUCCCCAAACCUCGUGCUCUUCUCAGAUGAUUUCUCUUCCGUUUCGAUCUUGAGCGAAGGAAUUUGAUUGUUUGGAAGCGUGAAGAUACGAUAAUGUCGCUCCAGUCUUACGAUCCUUCCGUUAUUGGAAUGGGCGAUGGUGAUCGACAUAUCAUCUGAUUUCUUCCUUAAAAUCCCACUUUCUUCUCUUCAUUGGUCUCAGAUCCUUUUUAUUUUUGCUUUUUUUUCCGAUUUAAAUUUGAAUGGGAGAAUUAAUGAUUCCAAAUCCAUUGUUUUUUUCUCUGCAAGGCAGAUGAUGAAUCAUCACAACACAUGCACUACCAUCUGAUCUCCCUACUCCACGCAGUAGCGAUAUGAUUUUGUGGAAAGAUAUUGUUUUUCGUGUGAUUUUAGAGGAAAUGAAGAAUUUGAUAUGCAGUCGGUGACGAAGAUUUAAUGAGAUGCUGAGUUUCCUGUGAUUAACUCACCAAAAUUAUCACCAUCUUUCGGCUGAGAUUACACCUAUCUGUUCCCAACUUUCUUUUUUUUUUUAACUUAGAAUUGAUUGUGUGAUGUUGAAUGCCAUUAGGUAUCUGAUGCUCAGUUCAAUGGUCGUGGCUGGGCAUCUCGUUAUGAUGGCAAAAAGGGAAGAGCAGGUCUUGCGACACUGAACAUUUAGAAGAAAGAUUUCUACAGUUUGAAAGUGAUGUACUACGCACAUUGCAUCAAAUCAGAGUGAUUGGAUAAACUGUGGCCGGGGCUUGGAUAUAAUUGUUGAACCAAAUGUUUAGAUCAUAUGAAUCAGGGAAGCUGCAGUGGACUGUAAAUUUUUGGGGUUUAUGUUAUGCAUAGGACACCGAACACACAAGUGGCAUCACCUUCAUUCAAAUGCAGAAGAACGAUCACAUUAUUACCUAUCCAGAUUCUUCUUUUGUUGGGAAUUCAUCGUUGACUCCGUUGGAUUUUUGCGGAGGUUUGUCAACAUGUUGGAAGGUCAAUAUCAUAUCUGGUAGCACUGCAAUCUUCAUUCUGAAGGCUAAUGUUUGUCAACAUGGGAAUAAUUAUUUCUGUUGACACCGGUCAAUGGAUCUCCACAAGUUAAUUGACAUUAAUUCCGAUGGUGCUGACAGUGUCCGUGCCUCGUGAGAAAACCAACUGCCACAGCCCUGUGGGUUGUGACAAGAGUGCACAGAGAGUUAUCAAAGACAUGUUUCAAUCCAUCAGUUGGAUCUAUACUUCGAAUAAACAUUACAUGGGAUAAGAGCGUACCAAGAAAGCUUCAACUGUUAGGUUAUCUGUCAAUAUCCUCAAGUCAGUCAACCAUGAUGUCUGAUCUUGAUGAGUCCCAAAGUUUGAAUAGCUUUCAUCUCAAAACAACACUCUUCAAGAACCCUAACAUAAUUAUGAAAUGACUCAGAGCAUCUUCUUGAAUGUCAAGAGUUUUAAAUACGAGAAUAUUGUAGCUAUCAGACAAUCAUAAUUAAUACGAAUAAGAGAAAGAUGAGACCUGUGGGCACCAAAAAGACAGCGAUCGUCAGUUGCUGGGAAACUCUCCUGGAAAUUGACAUGAUGAUGCAGCUGAGCAGAACAAGACGAAGGAAGACUUUAAAUUCUAGGUUGCUUCCUUAUACUUUUCAAUAGAAAGACCAAGGAAGACUGUCGAUUGCAAACAAAAGCAAGUCGCUCAUCUACUAAUGCGACAGCAAGUUUGCAUCAUCUCUGAAUCUUAGGUGAUGCCACUUGUUUGUUCUUCUGAAUUGACUCAUCACAGUGCACCCCUGAGGCAGCAGAGUUAUCAGACCACCUCGCUAAGUCCUCUGGUUCUCGGUCGUGAGAUUGAUGAGCAAAAGAUAAAAAAAAAAAAAAUGUUGCUGCCAUUGGCUGAGGUGACCGACCGUUGCAUCACAGUGAUUCCCAUCUUUGGGAUGCCUGGCAUAGGGAAGACGACUCUCUCUCAACUAGUCCGGAAUGAUGAGUCUGUGAAGAACCAUUUUGAGCUUAGACUGGGUUUAUAUGUCUCAGGAUUUUGAUAUGAUGAGGAUUAUGAAGACCAUCAUCGAAUCCAUCGAUGGUUUUCAGUGUGAUUUUGUCAUCAUCGACAAUCUUCAGAAAGAACUUAGAAAGAAGUUGAGUGGGAAGAGAUACCUGCUUGUUCUGGACGAUGUUUGGCAUGUGAGCCCACAGGACUGGGAAAGGAUAAAGAACUUCUUGUACUCCGGUGCUCAAGCAAGUAACAAAGUGCAGUGUCAGUGUCUGAUAAUUUUUUGAUAAUUUGAUCUCUAAUAAAGUGGAAGUCGAUGGUAAUGUAUUUUGUAUGUAAGUGGAACAUUGAAUUGGCGCAUAGGUAGAUAACAUUGACAUUAUCAUAGUAUAUUAUAGGAGUGGAUU
Long non-coding RNA from Musa acuminata AAA Group (dessert banana), 2374 nucleotides. RefSeq lists it as uncharacterized. The transcript is spliced from 3 exons. NCBI's taxonomy places the organism in Eukaryota, Viridiplantae, Streptophyta, Magnoliopsida, Zingiberales, Musaceae. The record is from RefSeq and is a predicted model, not a curated record.